This is a long non-coding RNA of Medicago truncatula (barrel medic), 732 nucleotides long. RefSeq lists it as uncharacterized. The transcript is spliced from 2 exons. Lineage: Eukaryota; Viridiplantae; Streptophyta; Magnoliopsida; Fabales; Fabaceae. The record is from RefSeq and is a predicted model, not a curated record.
AAAUAAAUGAAGAUUUUCAACUUGCUUGCUCUUUGAUGCUUCAACAUGAACAAUGGAUACAAACGAGAUGAUAAUUAAUACUAGUAAUAAUGUAUCUUUUGCAGUGUAUGGUUGCUUGAAUAUUGAAGAAGGAAAUGAUUAUAAUACCCCACUUGAGGUCAAGGAAUCAAAUGAAACAACAUAUUCACCAAACAUAUCAUCAUCAUCUUUUGAGCCUCUAAGUGAUUUUUCUGAGCUUUUGGUCCAAACUUCAUAUCAAAUUUUCAAAUCCGAAGACAUCUGCAAAAUUCUAACAAUGCAAUCCGGAAAACAAAAUCCAGACCAGGAGUAAAAUUAGAAAAAAAAUAGGGCGCCGAGGAAAGACAUAGGUGGGAAAAGUAAUAAUCAAUAAAUUUCUUCCAUGUGUUAUAUAAGAGGGGGCUCUCCAUAUUAUACAGGAAAAUCUAGAACCUUCAGAUCCCUAUCAGAUGUAAGGUGUUUAGAAGAUUUAUCAAGAAAGAGAUUCCUCGUAAAAAGAAAGCACGUAGCUCAUUCCACUGUCGCAAGGAAAGACCUGUUUUACAUCUUUUAUUAUCUAAAUCGAAUGAGUUUCAGGAGAACUCAACUCUGGCAACAUGCCCUUUUGAGUUUUUUGCGUUUGUUUUUGUGAGUUUAAAAACUAUAGACUGUGUAAAAAAAAAUUAUACAUUCAUCAAAUUAUAUUCUAUAAGAAUGUCACUUUGUUAUAUUUCA